This 498-nucleotide ribosomal RNA is filed under the name uncultured bacterium. Its description in RNAcentral is "SSU rRNA". It matches the Rfam family "Bacterial small subunit ribosomal RNA", at positions 26 to 518 of the family's 1533-position model. The record is from RNAcentral.
AGAUUGAACGCUGGCGGCGUGCUUAACACAUGCAAGUCGAGCGGUAACGCGGGAGCAAUCCUGGCGACGAGCGGCGAACGGGUGAGUAAUGCUUGGGAAUCUGCCCAUUAGUGGGGAACAACCAGCCGAAAGGUUGGCUAAUACCGCAUACGCCCUACGGGGGAAAGCGGGGGAUCGAAAGACCUCGCGCUAAUGGAUGAGCCCAAGUCGGAUUAGCUUGUUGGUAGGGUAACGGCCUACCAAGGCGACAAUCCGUAGCUGGUCUGAGAGGACGACCAGCCACACUGGGACUGAGACACGGCCCAGACUCCUACGGGAGGCAGCAGUGGGGGAAUAUUGGACAAUGGGGGCAACCCUGAUCCAGCGACGCCGCGUGUGUGAAGAAGGCCUGCGGGUUGUAAAGCACUUUUUAGUGGGGAUGAAAAGCUCAGGGUUAACACCUCUGGGUCUUGACCUAACCCACAGAAAAGCACCGGCUAACUCUGUGCCAGCAGCCGC